Molecule: ribosomal RNA, 523 nt
Filed under: Conus obscurus
Lineage: Eukaryota; Metazoa; Mollusca; Gastropoda; Neogastropoda; Conidae
Description: partial 12S ribosomal RNA
Rfam family: Bacterial small subunit ribosomal RNA
Source: RNAcentral
ACGGUAAAGACAGUUAGACGGGAAGUGGCAGAAUCGUUAGAUCUUUAGUAUAGGAGUAAAAUCUAAAUACUAAAAGUUAUUCCCAAAACGAUUUAUUAUAAGCGUUGAAUCUGUGACAACUUUAAGGGAAACUGGGAUUGGAUACCCCAUUAUUUUUAGUCGUAAAUAUAGUUAAGGAUUUACCAGAGUACUACGAAUAAAAAGUUUAAAACUCAAAGGGCUUGGCGGUGUUUUAGACCUCUCAGGGGAACCUGUCUCGUAAUCGACAAUCCACGUCAAACCUAACCUCUUAUUGUAAUACAGCUUGUAUACCGUCGUCGUCAGGUAACUUCUUAAAAUUGAGUAGUUAGCUUGAGAAUUUAAUUGAUUAGAACGUCAGAUCAAGGUGCAGCUAAUGAAGAGGUGAGGAUGGGUUACAAUUACAUAUUCGUAAAUACGGAACACACUUGAAAUGAAGUGCUUAAAGGAGGACUUGAAAGUAAUUCUAAUUAUAUAAAUAGAAUGAAUGUGGCUCUGAAACGUG